GGAAGCGAGCGCCGCCGGAGCACAGCCCCGCACGGCCCCGCCGCUCCCGCCGGCUCCGGGGACCGAGACUAGUACCGGAGCUAGCGGCGGCCCGGAAGCACUCGGCCCGGAAAUGACGUCACGGAGGCGGGCCGUGCGAGAAACUGGAUCGCGGCUGCGCGCUGAGCCUGAGAGGGAGCGGCGGAAGCCGGUGGCCAGCAGGGACAGUGGAGGAGGCACAAGCGGAACCCGGAAGCAAAUGAACUGGAAGUGACGCGCAGCGCUCCGCCCGCAGACGCUGGUUAGCCGAGUUGUCAUGGAAACGGGUUCCAGAGCUGGGGAGAUUGGUUUUUUCACCUGACCGGCUUUUCCCUGGUCAGGACAGUGCUUGAGAGCCCCGGCUGACGUCGAACCCCGCGAUCCUAUUUCACAGACGAAACCGCGGAGGGUAGAGAGCCAAAGCACAGGCGGAGGUCAGGCGAGACUGGAGAGAGGACCGUGGGUGUUACUACUGCGACCGAGGUUAGGGAUGCGGAUCCGGGGAUGGGGGAGUGGGGGACUCAGGAGAGGGCUCAGCGUUUAGAAGCACUUAUUGCUUUCAGAGGACCCGGGUUUGAUCCCCAGAACCCACAUGGAGGCUCACAACCAUCCAUAACACCAGUUCCAGGGGAUCUGAUGCCCUCUUUGACCUCCACGGGUACCAGUCACGCACGUGGUGCACAUACAUAGAUGCAGGCAACACUUACGUAAAAUAAAAAUAAAUCACUACAUAGCGAAA
Long non-coding RNA from Peromyscus eremicus (cactus mouse), 757 nucleotides. RefSeq lists it as uncharacterized. The record is from RefSeq and is a predicted model, not a curated record. Lineage: Eukaryota; Metazoa; Chordata; Mammalia; Rodentia; Cricetidae. The transcript is spliced from 2 exons.